UACAGAGGUCUCGAGCGUUAGGCGGAAUCACUGGGCUUAAAGCGUGUGUAGGUGGAUGCCUAAGUACCUUGUGAAAUCCCACGGCUUAACCGUGGAACUGCUUGGUAUACUGGGUGUCUUGAGUCACUCAGGGGCGAGCGGAACAAAUGGUGGAGCGGUGAAAUGCGUAGAUAUCAUUUGGAACGCCAAUGGUGAAAACAGCUCGCUGGGGGUGCACUGACACUGAGACACGGAAAGCCCAGGGGAGCGAAACGGG
Molecule: ribosomal RNA, 256 nt
Filed under: uncultured bacterium
Lineage: Bacteria
Description: partial 16S ribosomal RNA
Rfam family: Bacterial small subunit ribosomal RNA
Source: RNAcentral